RNAcentral lists this ribosomal RNA (216 nucleotides) under Glomeromycotina sp. RNAcentral's name for it is "partial small subunit ribosomal RNA". The stretch from base 40 to 216 matches the Rfam family "Eukaryotic small subunit ribosomal RNA", at positions 686 to 864 of the family's 1831-position model. Lineage: Eukaryota; Fungi; Glomeromycota. The record is from RNAcentral.
GGGUCAGUAGGUUGGUCGUGCCACCGGUACGUACUGGUCUCACUGAUUCCUUCUUCCUGAAGAACCGUAAUGCCAUUAAUUUGGUGUUGCGGGGAAACAGGACUGUUACUUUGAAAAAAUUAGAGUGUUUAAAGCAAGCUAACGCUUGAAUACAUUAGCAUGGAAUAAUGAAAUAGGACGAUCGAUCCUAUUUUGUUGGCUUCUAGGAUUGACGUA